AGUGAACGCUGGCGGUAGGCCUAACACAUGCAAGUCGAACGGCAGCACAGUAAGAGCUUGCUCUUACGGGUGGCGAGUGGCGGACGGGUGAGGUAUACAUCGGAAUCUACUUUUUCGUGGGGGUUAACGUAGGGAAACUUACGCUAAUACCGCAUACGACCUACGGGUGAAAGCAGGGGAUCUUCUGACCUUGCGCGAUUGAAUGAGCCGAUGUCGGAUUAGCUAGUUGGCGGGGUAAAGGCCCACCAAGGCGACGAUCCGUAGCUGGUCUGAGAGGAUGAGCAGCAACAGUGGAACGGAGAAAAGGACAAGAAUAAUACGGGAGGAAGCAGAGGGGAAUAGUGGAAAAGGGGCGAAAGCAGGAUACAGAAAUACCGAGUGGGGGAAGAAGGAAUUCGGGUUGUAAAGACAUUUUGUUGGGAAAGAAAAGCAGCAGGUUAAUACCCCGCUGUUCUGACGGUACCCAAAGAAUAAGCACCGGCUAACUUCGUG
RNAcentral lists this ribosomal RNA (492 nucleotides) under uncultured bacterium. Its description in RNAcentral is "partial 16S ribosomal RNA". It matches the Rfam family "Bacterial small subunit ribosomal RNA", at positions 29 to 507 of the family's 1533-position model. The record is from RNAcentral.